AACGCGAAGAACCUUACCCAGGCUUGACAUGCAGUGGACCACAUCAGAGAUGGUGUUUCCCUUCGGGGCCGCUGCACAGGUGCUGCAUGGCUGUCGUCAGCUCGUGCCGUGAGGUGUUGGGUUAAGUCCCGCAACGAGCGCAACCCUUAUCACUAGUUGCCAACACGUAAUGGUGGGAACUCUAGUGAGACUGCCCGGGUUAACCGGGAGGAAGGUGAGGAUGACGUCAAGUCCGCAUGGCCCUUAUGUCUGGGGCAACACACGUGCUACAAUGGUCGGUACAGAAGGCAGCCAAACCGCGAGGUGGAGCAAAUCCCUAAAAACCGAUCUCAGUUCAGAUUGUAGUCUGCAACUCGACUACAUGAAGACGGAAUUGCUAGUAAUGGCAGGUCAGCACACUGCCGUGAAUACGUUCCCGGGCCUUGUACACACCGCUAGUC
RNAcentral lists this ribosomal RNA (440 nucleotides) under uncultured bacterium. RNAcentral describes it as "bacterial SSU rRNA". It matches the Rfam family "Bacterial small subunit ribosomal RNA", at positions 958 to 1398 of the family's 1533-position model. The record is from RNAcentral.